Molecule: long non-coding RNA, 1106 nt
Organism: Lycium barbarum (goji berry)
Lineage: Eukaryota; Viridiplantae; Streptophyta; Magnoliopsida; Solanales; Solanaceae
Exons: 3
Source: RefSeq, a predicted model, not a curated record
ACCCAUUUGACUUAGUUUAUCUAAAGCAGCUUAUAAGCUGAAAACAGCUUAUAAGCCAAAAAAAAUAAGUUGGACUACCCCAACUUAUUUUUUUCAGCUUAUAAGCUGCAAACAACUUUAAGCUGUAAGCCAAUCCAAACGGGCUCCUACUCCUCACCUUGCUCACCAUUUUUCAUCGCUUAAACCCCACAAAAUAACCAUGACAGCACCAUAAAAACCUCCAUUAAAUUUGCACACCCUUCAACUAUGGAGACUUCACCUUCAAGCUUCUAUAAUCACCAUAAACCCCAUUAAAAUGCAACCAAGAACACCAUUAUUAAACUACACAAGCUCACCAUCAUUGUCGACACACCUCAAAACCAUCUUCUUUUCUGUUGCUUGGUCAAGUUAGAGGCUCCGUUUGGAUUUCUAUUCGUGUUCCGGCAAAAGUUUCAUUAUUCUAGCUAAUGUGGUAUUGACGGAAAAGUUGGACACAUCUGAUCCAUUAAUAUAAGGGACGGAGUUACGUGGUCUGAAGGAGAUACAAUUGAAUCCCUUUUGACAGAAAAUUAUACGGCUGAUCAUAUAGGACUAGCCAUGCAACAACAUGAACAUCAUGCAGAUGAGCCAAGUAAUGAAGAAAAAGAAGAAGACAACAGCAGGAAAGACAUUAAUGUUACACCUAAAAGACAAGAAGUACAAGGACCACAUGAACAAAAUGAUGGAAGUGAAAUUGUACUUCGACAGCAACAUAUUAAUGAGUUUUUGGAUGAUUUUGAUAAUAAUUGGUCUGAUAUAAAUUUUGAUUAUUUCUUGGAGGAAGAAUAUGUUAACCAGAACAGCAGCUUGGACUUGGAGUUUGGAUCCAUUGAAGAGUUGACAUAUUUGGAACAUGACAUGUUACCUUGGCUAUGGAAUGAAUAAAUAGAAAUUCAUACUCCCUUCGUCCCAAUUUAUACGGUGCGGUCGGAAUUUUGAGAGCCAAUCAAGUGUUUCUUUGACCGAAAUUUAUCUUCAUAUGCCUUUUAAAUAUUUAGGUUAUUAUUUAUUGUGAUUAUUUAUAAUAUACGUCAAAACACUUAAAACUUCUAUGUUCAAAUUCACGGUCUUAAUUUAGAAAUUUGAAU